Molecule: ribosomal RNA, 468 nt
Filed under: uncultured bacterium
Lineage: Bacteria
Description: partial 16S ribosomal RNA
Rfam family: Bacterial small subunit ribosomal RNA
Source: RNAcentral
GACGAACGCUGGCGGCGUGCUUAACACAUGCAAGUCGAACGGAAAGGCCCUGCUUUUGUGGGGUGCUCGAGUGGCGAACGGGUGAGUAACACGUGAGUAACCUGCCCUUGACUUUGGGAUAACUUCAGGAAACUGGGGCUAAUACCGGAUAGGAGCUCCUGCUGCAUGGUGGGGGUUGGAAAGUUUCGGCGGUUGGGGAUGGACUCGCGGCUUAUCAGCUUGUUGGUGGGGUAGUGGCUUACCAAGGCUUUGACGGGUAGCCGGCCUGAGAGGGUGACCGGCCACAUUGGGACUGAGAUACGGCCCAGACUCGUACGGGAGGCAACAGUGGGGAAUAUUGCACAAUGGGCGGAAGCCUGAUGCAGCAACGCCGCGUGCGGGAUGACGGCCUUCGGGUUGUAAACCGCUUUCGCCUGUGACGAAGCGUGAGUGACGGUAAUGGGUAAAGAAGCACCGGCUAACUACGUG